AUGCACGCUGGCGGCGUGCCUAAUACAUGCAAGUCGAGCGAACAGACGAGGAGCUUGCUCCUCUGACGUUAGCGGCGGACGGGUGAGUAACCCGUGGAUAACCUACCUAUAAGACUGGGAUAACUUCGGGAAACCGGAGCUAAUACCGGAUAACAUGUUGAACCGCAUGGUUCAACAGUGAAAGACGGUCUUGCUGUCACUUAUAGAUGGAUCCGCGCCGCAUUAGCUAGUUGGUAAGGUAACGGCUUACCAAGGCAACGAUGCGUAGCCGACCUGAGAGGGUGAUCGGCCACACUGGAACUGAGACACGGUCCAGACUCCUACGGGAGGCAGCAGUAGGGAAUCUUCCGCAAUGGGCGAAAGCCUGACGGAGCAACGCCGCGUGAGUGAAGAAGGUCUUCGGAUCGUAAAACUCUGUUAUUAGGGAAGAACAAAUGUGUAAGUAACUAUGCACGUCUUGACGGUACCUAAUCAGAAAGCCACGGCUAACUACGUG
This 496-nucleotide ribosomal RNA is filed under the name uncultured bacterium. RNAcentral describes it as "partial 16S ribosomal RNA". It matches the Rfam family "Bacterial small subunit ribosomal RNA", at positions 29 to 507 of the family's 1533-position model. The record is from RNAcentral.